AUGGAGCAAAGAUGGCAUGAGAUUUCAUCGCGCUACUCAGAACUGUGUGGAAUUUCAAACUUAUCAAUUGUUUAUUUCUGGAAUUUUCCCUUCAGUGAAACCAAGGAAAGCAAUAUCACAGAUAAAGGGGAUUUCCGAAUAUAUAAACAAAAAGCAUUUACUGAAUACAAGAAUAAACUAUUUCUGCUCC
This is a long non-coding RNA of Homo sapiens (human), 190 nucleotides long. The record is from Ensembl. NCBI's taxonomy places the organism in Eukaryota, Metazoa, Chordata, Mammalia, Primates, Hominidae.